UUCGAACGCUGGCGCUCUAUAAUGCAGUCGAGCGAACAGAUAAGGAGCUUGCUCCUUUGACGUUAGCGGCGGACGGGUGAGUAACACGUGGGUAACCUACCUAUAAGACUGGAAUAACUCCGGGAAACCGGGGCUAAUGCCGGAUAACAUAUAGAACCGCAUGGUUCUAUAGUGAAAGAUGGUUUUGCUAUCACUUAUAGAUGGACCCGCGCCGUAUUAGCUAGUUGGUAAGGUAAUGGCUUACCAAGGCGACGAUACGUAGCCGACCUGAGAGGGUGAUCGGCCACACUGGAACUGAGACACGGUCCAGACUCCUACGGGAGGCAGCAGUAGGGAAUCUUCCGCAAUGGGCGAAAGCCUGACGGAGCAACGCCGCGUGAGUGAUGAAGGGUUUCGGCUCGUAAAACUCUGUUAUUAGGGAAGAACAUAUGUGUAAGUAACUGUGCACAUCUUGACGGUACCUAAUCAGAAAGCCACGGCUAACUACGUGCCAGCAGCCGCGGUAAUACGUAGGGGCCAAGCGUAAGCGUGGGUUACGUCUCAACAACAACCUCAAAAAAA
Molecule: ribosomal RNA, 561 nt
Filed under: Staphylococcus haemolyticus
Lineage: Bacteria; Bacillati; Bacillota; Bacilli; Caryophanales; Staphylococcaceae
Description: bacterial SSU rRNA
Rfam family: Bacterial small subunit ribosomal RNA
Source: RNAcentral